Non-coding RNA from Neofelis nebulosa (Clouded leopard), 405 nucleotides. NCBI's taxonomy places the organism in Eukaryota, Metazoa, Chordata, Mammalia, Carnivora, Felidae. The record is from the annotation of a RefSeq genome assembly.
AUGGAGUCUGUGCUUGGCUGGGUGUUCCUGCUUGCUCUUUUAAAAGGUGUCCAGUGUGACGUGCAGCUGGUGGAGUCUGGAGGAGACCUGGUGAAGCCUGGGCGGUCCCUGAGACUCACCUGUGUAGCCUCUGGAUUCACCUUUAGUAGCUAUGGAAUGAGCUGGGUCUGCCAGGCUCCAGGAAAGGGGCUCCAGUGGGUCGCAUAUAUUUAUGAUGAUGGCAGUAGCACAUACUACGCAGACUCCGUGAAGGGCCGAUUCACCCAGAAAAUCCUCUAUCUGCAGAUGAACAACCUGAGGGCCGAGGACAAGGCCACAUAUUACUGUGGAAGAGACAGGGUGGCCCCCAGGUGUAGGGUGUUGGCCACCCAGUACAACCCUCUGUUCUUGAAAGAGCAGACCUAG